AGCAGCCGCGGUAAUUCCAGCUCCAAUAGCGUAUAUUAAAGUUGUUGCAGUUAAAAAGCUCGUAGUUGAAUUUCGGGGUUAGUAGAUUGGUCAUGCCAUCGGUAUGCACUGGUCUCACUGAUUCCUCCUUCCUGAUGAGCCGUAAUGCCAUUAAUUUGGUGUUGCGGGGAAUUUGGACUGUUACUUUGAAAAAUUAGAGUGUUUAAAGCAAGCUAACGCUUGAAUACAUUAGCAUGGAAUAAUGAAACAGGACGUUCGAUUCUAUUUUGUUGGUUUCUAGGAUUGACGUAAUGAUUAAUAGGGAUAGUUGGGGGCAUUAGUAUUCAAUUGUCAGAGGUGAAAUUCUUGGAUUUAUUGAAGACUAACUACUGCGAAAGCAUUUGCCAAGGAUGUUUUCAUUAAUCAAGAACGAAAGUUAGGGGAUCGAAGACGAUCAGAUACCGUCGUAGU
This 450-nucleotide ribosomal RNA is filed under the name uncultured Glomus. RNAcentral's name for it is "SSU rRNA". It matches the Rfam family "Eukaryotic small subunit ribosomal RNA", at positions 569 to 1024 of the family's 1831-position model. Lineage: Eukaryota; Fungi; Glomeromycota; Glomeromycetes; Glomerales; Glomeraceae. The record is from RNAcentral.